This 116-nucleotide ribosomal RNA is filed under the name Pteropus alecto (black flying fox). Lineage: Eukaryota; Metazoa; Chordata; Mammalia; Chiroptera; Pteropodidae. The record is from RNAcentral.
GUCUACGGCCAUGCUACCCUGAACAAGCCCGAUGUCUGAUCUCGGAAGCUAAGCAGGGUCGGGCCUGGUUAGUACUUGGGUGAGAGACCACCUAGGAAGACCAGGUGCUGUAGGCA